This 774-nucleotide ribosomal RNA is filed under the name bacterium enrichment culture clone 57.8B. RNAcentral's name for it is "bacterial SSU rRNA". It matches the Rfam family "Bacterial small subunit ribosomal RNA", at positions 734 to 1503 of the family's 1533-position model. The record is from RNAcentral.
CUGUAACUGACGCUGAGGAGCGAAAGCAUGGGGAGCGAACAGGAUUAGAUACCCUGGUAGUCCAUGCCGUAAACGUUGGGCACUAGGUGUGGGGACCAUUCCACGGUUUCCGCGCCGCAGCUAACGCAUUAAGUGCCCCGCCUGGGGAGUACGGCCGCAAGGCUAAAGCUCAAAGGAAUUGACGGGGGCCCGCACAAGCGGCGGAGCAUGCGGAUUAAUUCGAUGCAACGCGAAGAACCUUACCAAGGCUUGACAUGUUCUCGAUCGCCGUAGAGAUACGGUUUCCCCUUUGGGGCGGGUUCACAGGUGGUGCAUGGUUGUCGUCAGCUCGUGUCGUGAGAUGUUGGGUUAAGUCCCGCAACGAGCGCAACCCUCGUUCCAUGUUGCCAGCACGUAAUGGUGGGGACUCAUGGGAGACUGCCGGGGUCAACUCGGAGGAAGGUGAGGACGACGUCAAAUCAUCAUGCCCCUUAUGUCUUGGGCUUCACGCAUGCUACAAUGGCCGGUACAAUGGGUUGCGAUACUGUGAGGUGGAGCUAAUCCCAAAAAGCCGGUCUCAGUUCGGAUUGGAGUCUGCAACUCGACCCCAUGAAGUCGGAGUCGCUAGUAAUCGCAGAUCAGCAACGCUGCGGUGAAUACGUUCCCGGGCCUUGUACACACCGCCCGUCAAGUCACGAAAGUUGGUAACACCCGAAGCCGGUGGCCUAACCCUUGUGGGGGGAGCCGUCGAAGGUGGGACCAGCGAUUGGGACUAAGUCGUAACAAGGUAGCCGU